Molecule: ribosomal RNA, 465 nt
Filed under: uncultured Klebsiella sp.
Lineage: Bacteria; Pseudomonadati; Pseudomonadota; Gammaproteobacteria; Enterobacterales; Enterobacteriaceae
Description: bacterial SSU rRNA
Rfam family: Bacterial small subunit ribosomal RNA
Source: RNAcentral
CCUACGGGGGGCUGCAGUGGGGAAUAUUGCACAAUGGGCGCAAGCCUGAUGCAGCCAUGCCGCGUGUGUGAAGAAGGCCUUCGGGUUGUAAAGCACUUUCAGCGGGGAGGAAGGCGUUAAGGUUAAUAACCUUGGCGAUUGACGUUACCCGCAGAAGAAGCACCGGCUAACUCCGUGCCAGCAGCCGCGGUAAUACGGAGGGUGCAAGCGUUAAUCGGAAUUACUGGGCGUAAAGCGCACGCAGGCGGUCUGUCAAGUCGGAUGUGAAAUCCCCGGGCUCAACCUGGGAACUGCAUUCGAAACUGGCAGGCUAGAGUCUUGUAGAGAGGGGUAGAAUUCCAGGUGUAGCGGUGAAAUGCGUAGAGAUCUGGAGGAAUACCGGUGGCGAAGGCGGCCCCCUGGACAAAGACUGACGCUCAGGUGCGAAAGCGUGGGGAGCAAACAGGAUUAGAUACCCCUGUAGUC